CUGGAGACAAGGAAACAAAAGACAUGAAGAUAAGGGGACAGGAAAGUUCAAAAAGGUGCUUUCUCUGGGGUUGUUGACCGGUCCAGGGUUUGACUCAUGUCAGCUGGAUUGACACCAGCUCCGGGGGGGUAUUCCAGAAAGCAGGUUCAACAAACUCUGAGUCUAUCCCUGAACUCUGAGUUGACUUACUCUGAGUCGGGAAACUCUGAAUAUCCGGUUCCAGAACAGCUGAUCUGAGUUAGUUCAAUCAACUCUGAGUAUGUUAACCUCGAGGUACGCGCGUGCACAACCACUAUAAAAAGCCAUCAUCAAUGGAGCCCCGAUACCACGAGUCACCAUGACAACUGAGAAAAAAAAAAAGAUCAACUUAUUUCAGUGCGAAGGAGUUGGAGAUCCUUUUGCUGGGCUACGGAGAAUAUGAGCACAUAUUUCGCCGCAAAUGCAACACAGCUGCAUUAGCGAAGGAGAGAGAGACCGCAUGGGAGAAAAUUGCUGCCUGAGUCAACGCGUGCAAUCCAACAGGAGAAAGGAGGACUUGGAAGCAGCUCAAAAUGAAACAUAAAAACAUCAUUCAAAAAGCCAACAGAAAGAAGGCAGAGGCCCGAAAAACAGGUGGAGGGCCACCUCCACCACCUCUGUCAGAGGCUGAGGAGCUGGCUCUCAGCCAAUACAGGGGUCGCCCUGUGGCUGAAGGCAUCCCCGGGGGAAGCUCAUCUGAACCUGUCACCCCCAUGCCCCCUGUCACAAGU
Solea solea (common sole) is the source of this 749-nucleotide long non-coding RNA. RefSeq lists it as uncharacterized. The record is from RefSeq and is a predicted model, not a curated record. NCBI's taxonomy places the organism in Eukaryota, Metazoa, Chordata, Actinopteri, Pleuronectiformes, Soleidae. The transcript is spliced from 3 exons.